GCUGUACACAGAAACAGAGGCAAAGACAAAGACGUGCCACAAUGAGAAGAGCCCACACAGAUGAAUCAAUAAGACCCUAGCACGAACCAGGGCCCUAGGAACACCGCAUUCUCCAAGCCAGUUGGAUUUUGUGUCUAGUAAUCCAGAACCUUGAUCAACAGUCUCCAUGAAGCAAAGAAACGGGAGCACUGAAUUCACAGCCCGGAUGCCAAGUAAGAACCGGUGGGGAAAUUCUUCCAUUUUAAAAUGUUCUCUGUCAUUUAUCACUAAGCUUCCACUUCCAAAACCUUCCUUGGCCAACUGCAAGAAGCUUUUGGUCUCUUUGUCGGGGCACUGAGUGGAAAAUAAACCUGGUUUUCCGCCUCACUUUCAGGGUCGUCGGCCAAUCACAAAGUUGUGCCCCAUACCUCCUCGUGUUGGUGUCAAAGGGAAAGGAGCUGGGUGGGAUUUAUGAACUGAAGACCAGAUUUGCCACACAAAAGACCAGCUGCUUAAAAAACCGGAUCACGCUGGACAGCUCUGAGGUUUUAGCAGGUCUGAACGCCCCACCCUCUCCUCACGCCUCAGGCUCUCUGAGGACCCCACCUCAGCCCCGACCAGGAGCCCGAGCCACCCAUCCUCUCCUGAGCAAUCAAAAGGAAGUCUCGGUCUGAAACUCCUGGGUUCACCAUCCUGGGACUCGGGCCACAUAUUGUACCGAAAAGUUUUCCUGUUGCCUCAGCACCGAGGAAACUGUAAGGGUUUUGGAAGCUUUAUGUCAGGAACUGGGGCAGAGACCAAAUACACUUAUUACAUCACAGACAUAAUAAAAGAAACUGGCUUAUUCAGAAAGUAUGUCUCAAAGUGUUUCAAAAAGAUUGACCUGUUGUGAGAUGAUUUUCCAAAAUGCACUGGUUUAAACUGUGAUCACAUUUCCUUAUGAUCACAGCUAUUAAAUCUUUUAAAGAAAAGAUCCUGGGGGAGCUCGUUGUUCCAUUAUGUAACUGAGUAUUCUAAUCUCUCAUUUCUUUUCUGCUAAUGCUGAAAAUGCUUAAUAAAUAUCGUAACACUGAUAAUAACUAUGAUCACACAGAAAUUGUAAUAGCUUCUAUGCUCUCCACUUUACUAAUUAUUUUACUUAAUCCUAAAAUAAUCACACAAAGUAAGCACUUUUACUCCCUACUUUUUA
RNAcentral lists this long non-coding RNA (1168 nucleotides) under Fukomys damarensis (Damara mole-rat). RNAcentral's name for it is "lncRNA (ENSFDAG00000030360.1)". The record is from RNAcentral. Lineage: Eukaryota; Metazoa; Chordata; Mammalia; Rodentia; Bathyergidae.